RNAcentral lists this ribosomal RNA (432 nucleotides) under uncultured bacterium. RNAcentral describes it as "partial 16S ribosomal RNA". It matches the Rfam family "Bacterial small subunit ribosomal RNA", at positions 29 to 506 of the family's 1533-position model. The record is from RNAcentral.
AACGAACGCUGGCGGCAGGCCUAACACAUGCAAGUCGAGCGAGGACUUCGGUUCUAGCGGCGGACGGGUGAGUAACGCGUGGGAAUGUGCCCUUCUCUACGGAAUAGCCCUGGGAAACUGGGAGUAAUACCGUAUACGCCCUUUUGGGGAAAGAUUUAUCGGAGAAGGAUCAGCCCGCGUUGGAUUAGGUAAUUGGUGGGGUAAUGGCCUACCAAGCCGACGAUCCAUAGCUGGUUUGAGAGGAUGAUCAGCCACACUGGGACUGAGACACGGCCCAGACUCCUACGGGAGGCAGCAGUGGGGAAUCUUAGACAAUGGGGGCAACCCUGAUCUAGCCAUGCCGCGUGAGUGAUGAAGGCCUUAGGGUUGUAAAGCUCUUUCAGCUGGGAAGAUAAUGACGGUACCAGCAGAAGAAGCCCCGGCUAACUCCGU